AAGUUAAGCAGAAAAGGGAGGAGCCGAGCUGGAUGGGCCAAUACAAGUAGGGUUGGUUGUACUGCAGCUAUUGAAUAUUGAUGACUAUUUCUGUCAAAUCAGUUUUAAAAAAAAAGCUAAACUUGUUAGACGAAGCCUUUUGUGAUUGUGUUUAAAGUUAGACUGUUUGAAUUGAUAUUAGCAAUAUACUGGUUUGUCUGUGUGGUAGUAUUCAUUAUGUAUGUGUUAUGGUACUCCAUAACCUUUAUAUUCAAAACAAAAAUUAUCUUUGUACUGAAACAAUGUUCUCAGAGUUGAGAAACAGCAAGUAUGUUCAAGGUUUUGUCACUCUCCUAUCUGUAGGUCUGUUGCAAUUAGAUACACCUUUGGGACCAACACACACACUUUUUAAGUAUAUGCCCCUGAAUUAAUGUGUGCAGAGGCUGGUCUGCCCACAGUAUUUAUAUAGAGCCAAUUAGACUGCGUUGCAUGCAUAAGUCCAGCCCAUUGUACAGGGCGUACUUGCACUGCUGAAGCUCCGCCUACGCACACCACACACCAAAAAAAGUCAUGAGUUGAUUAAUGGAAAACUGCUGUAAUUUUUUUCUCAUCCACGAUUAACACCAUCCAUACUUUUUGGAACUUGUCUGCACUGUACAGUAGUUUGAACUAUUUUUUUUUUGUUUCAAUGGUUUCUCCAGUUUCUUAAACAUUCAGGGAGACUGAUCCUCUCUGUCCCCCCUGUUCAUCUCUCCAACUCCAUGCACUCAGCGGAGCUGUGGAUGCCCCUCAGUCACGGUUGACAGGGAGAGAAACAGAAAGAACCUUUGGUGUUUUUUACUGUUGUGGACAAAUAAGACGGCAAAGCACCAUUUCACGUGCAAUUACUGUAUUCACUUCUGAAACGACACCAUUUAUUGAGCAAAUGAAAAGCAGCUCCACUCUGUCCCAUGUUCUGUCUCUCCUAAUCAGUGCCCUGAAAGCAGCUGUGAGCAGUUGCGACCCUAAGUAGCGGUUGACAGGUAGAGAAACAAAAGGAAUGUCAAAAACCUAUGGAGUUUUUUUGUCUUGGAGAUCAAACAAAUACAACACAUGAAAGCAGCACAAGUAUUUUCUAACUCCUACUUUUAGGGUGUGUCUUAGUUCUGUAUUAAACUCCCAUUGUUACAUUUCAUUCAUUGUACUUUAUUUGUUUCCUUGAUUUUAUCCCCCUUAAAAUUUGUUGUCUGUUAAUUUUCUCAAUAGGUAACACAUAGACCGACAUGCAGACAGAUAAAUACUAGUGAUGCAAGUUAUUAAGACGUUAAUCUAAAGUUAUCGAUCAUCCAACGAUUAAUUGAUAAGCAACCAUUUUCUUCAAAACCCUAGUUUUAUCUUGUUUCAAGGGUCUUUCCAAAACAUGAAGGGCUAUUAUUUAUUUAUUUACAAAAUGAUAUUUAAAAAAAGGCAUAAUUAUAUUUUUAUAUCUUAUUGUGCCACCUGUAUUAAAUACUGACUGAAUAAAAAAACAUUGUGGUUUGUCUCACACAUGAUUUAACUUGGAUAUAGUUAUUAAAUAUAACAAAACAAAAACCUAUUAGGUUACUGAAUAGAAACAAGUUCAAUAGAAUAAAAUAUAUGAAACACUAUUAAUCCCAACAAAAGCCCUCAUCAUCAGCCGUGCUUUGAGCAUCAUAUCUUUUUCUAUCAUAUUACAAUUUUUUUGCAUAAGGCCCUCUUCUUUUCUGUUAUCACAUGCUUGCCUUUUGAGCAAAUCAGUGAGUUUUGGUUGAGAAACUGAUUCAGCUCCACCAGACAGCCCGGCUAAAAAAGAGCUAUUUAGCUGAAAUCUUAAGGAACUUGAGUGUUUAUAUUUAAAAGCAGAACGGUAUUAAUAGCAUACUGCAUGAAUGAAACAAAAUCCAUGUAUACUGGUUACAAGUAUUGUCAUUUGAAUAUUUUUUUUUACAUUUUCUGACUUACUGUCAGUGGCAUGGCCAGAAAUUGCUUUUUGGCCAGGCCAAAUAAAAAUGGGUGGGUCAAAUUAUUAUAGUUGAACGCAACAUCUGGAUUUCAAUUUGCCAAUGCACUCUGAGCUUACAAGUGUGUGAGCCACGAAAGUUUGUUGCAUUUAACAUUACACUGUGUGGCACAAAGCUCUCAUCAGCCAGUAAGCUGUCAAACUUAAAAGCGACAUGAUAGAAUCGUCAGAGAUCCAGAUGUCUGUCGUGAACCUCUGCGUUUUCACAUCUUUUAUCUCUUCCAAUAUGUGUUUCCACACUUUAUCUUGCAAUUCUGGUAUAGCCAGAAUUAACUCCAACAACUGUGAGUGGCUGCCCAUCCAUGACAAUAAAGUUCAGUAUUCUCUCAGUGAUUUUUGUUGCCUGCACGCUAUUUGGUAAAAACAUUUCACCUCUUUCCUUAAUGUCCUUCAAAGUUCGCUGCUUCAUGCCCUCUCCUUUCUGUUUAGUUUUCUGUUCAACAAACUCAGCGUGCUCUUUAGGGUAAAAUAUCUGGAGAUGCUUAAUUAGGCUGGUUGUGUUGUAGCUUGAAGGUUUAUUAGGGCCUCUUAGAACAUUCACUGCGCAGGUAUUGCACAUAGCCAUCAAAUGUGUCAGCUGAGGGUAGUAUGAAAAAGUUCCAGAUGACUGAUCCUUUUGCUCGCUCCAUUUUGAAAACUGUGACUGCGGCGUAUUGCUAGCGAAUGACUUCUUUCUGAGAGCACAUGUAUAGAAAUAGACCACAUAGAUCUGCUCAUAUGGCUCGGGCCCAUUGUCACGAUACCUGAUCUAGAAUUUUCUUCAAUAUCCAAACCGAUACAGAUAUUAAUAAUGGAUCGGUGCAUCCGAUUUACGUUUAGGAAAAUAUAUUGUCAAAAAUAUUGUAAACAGGAAAACCUUUUUUUACCAUAAGAUGAGGCACUUUAAUUUACUUUUGUUACACAAGUUACAAAAGUGAAGUGAAGCCUGUUCUUGGCUCAUGGCAUAAUACAACUGUCAGGGCUCAGCCAGCUGCGCAGUUUUCUGCCGGCACUGCCUUUUUCUGCUCUCUCUCUUUUCCGCAGGUGGCUCGAGUUGGCAGGUGGGCGUUGUACACACCUGCAGCUCAUUCGGCAGCGUGUAGCUGCGGUAUUUAAACAGCAAGCAGACAGCUGAAGGACGCCAGAGUGUUAACCUAGAAUGGUUCACCUUACACUCUGGAUUCCACUCCAAAGCACUCACUCGUGUUCUGAUGUCCCCAAGUCAAGCCUGCACGCUCUGGACCCCGUUUCAGAUGCUGUCCACACUCAAGCUCCCUUCCAACACUCCCUUGGUGUUACCAAGCCGGGCUGAGGACUCACAACGGUUCUACCUGGUUCCUUCAUCUGUCCACGGCUCACUCUUCCCGCCGCCACUGCUCAGAUCCCGCUACAGCUCCACCGACCUGCCCACCAGCCAUCUCAGUCAUCUGCUGGAAGUCAUCCGUUGAGCCCGUCUUUCCGCUCCACUCCCCCCGGCUCGGUUCCCGCGCUCUGCGAUUCCCCCGAGUCCGGUCUCAUGUUUCCUUCCGGCAUCGCUCAGUCGAGGGUUUAUUACCGCAAACCUCCUUGUACAACUGUGUGCUAUAAUAAACAUCUUAAGCUGGU
Fundulus heteroclitus (mummichog) is the source of this 3583-nucleotide long non-coding RNA. RefSeq lists it as uncharacterized. The transcript is spliced from 3 exons. NCBI's taxonomy places the organism in Eukaryota, Metazoa, Chordata, Actinopteri, Cyprinodontiformes, Fundulidae. The record is from RefSeq and is a predicted model, not a curated record.